Molecule: ribosomal RNA, 264 nt
Filed under: uncultured archaeon
Lineage: Archaea
Description: partial 16S ribosomal RNA
Rfam family: Archaeal small subunit ribosomal RNA
Source: RNAcentral
AGUCACUGACAUUAGAUACCCGUGUAGUCCAGGGUGUAAACGCUGCAGACUUGGUGUUGGAAGCCCUUUGGGGGCAUUCAGUGCCGGAGAGAAGUUGUUAAGUCUGCUACUUGGGAGUACGUCCGCAAGGAUGAAACUUAAAGGAAUUGGCGGGGGAGCACCGCAACGGGAGGAGCGUGCGGUUUAAUUGGAUUCAACACCGUAAAACUCACCAGGGAAGACUGUUACAUGAAAGCCGAGAUGAAGACUCUGCUAGAUUUUCAG